Molecule: ribosomal RNA, 252 nt
Filed under: uncultured archaeon
Lineage: Archaea
Description: partial 16S ribosomal RNA
Rfam family: Archaeal small subunit ribosomal RNA
Source: RNAcentral
AGAUACCCGUGUAGUCCUAGCCGUAAACGAUACUCGCUAGGUGUCGGCCACGGUGCGACCGUUGUCGGUGCCGUAGGGAAGCCGUGAAGCGAGCCACCUGGGAAGUACGGCCGCAAGGCUGAAACUUAAAGGAAUUGGCGGGGGAGCACCACAACGGGUGGAGCUUGCGGUUUAAUUGGAUUCAACGCCGGAAAUCUUACCGGGACCGACAGCAACAUGAAGGCCAGGCUGAAGACUUUGCCGGAUUAGCUG